GUGCCAGCCGCCGCGGUAAUACGGAGGGGGCUAGCGUUGUUCGGAAUUACUGGGCGUAAAGCGUACGUAGGCGGCUUUGUAAGUUAGAGGUGAAAGCCUGGUGCUCAACACCAGAACUGCCUUUAAGACUGCAUCGCUUGAAUCGCGGAGAGGUGAGUGGAAUUCCGAGUGUAGAGGUGAAAUUCGUAGAUAUUCGGAAGAACACCAGUGGCGAAGGCGGCUCACUGGACGCGUAUUGACGCUGAGGUACGAAAGCGUGGGGAGCAAACAGGAUUAGAAACCCUAGUAGUCC
RNAcentral lists this ribosomal RNA (292 nucleotides) under uncultured bacterium. Its description in RNAcentral is "partial 16S ribosomal RNA". It matches the Rfam family "Bacterial small subunit ribosomal RNA", at positions 505 to 796 of the family's 1533-position model. The record is from RNAcentral.